GAUUAUGGUGAUGUUAAAACUUAAUAACUUUCGUUCUCCUGAGCUCUUAUGUGCUGAAAAAAUUAUUGGAGACCUGAACUGAAGAUUU
Non-coding RNA from Arabis alpina (gray rockcress), 88 nucleotides. Lineage: Eukaryota; Viridiplantae; Streptophyta; Magnoliopsida; Brassicales; Brassicaceae. The record is from Rfam.